AAUUUCUCAAAUUCUUCAUGUUCCUGGUAGCAUCGUAAAGGUUGGAGAAACACUUUUGAAGAUCGGCGUUGAUGAAAUUCUUGAUCCUACUGAGACUUCUGAUGCUUCAGAAAAGAUGAUAUCGCUGGAAUCUGAUUUCAGUGGCACAAGUGACAUCAGCUCUGUGCCUGCAGAAACCAAGAUGGGGGGAGUGUUAUCCACACCUGCUGUCCGCAACCUUGCAAAGCAAUAUAGUUUGGACAUAAAUGAUGUUCCUGCAACUGGGAAAGGUGGAAGGAUACUUAAAGAGGACGUGAUAAAUUAUGCAAUGCAAAAAGGACUAAUUAAUGGAGCACCAGCAUGUGAACAACAAAACCUGUCAGAGGUUUCACCUCCCAUUGGAGGGGGAUAUGAAGAUAAGACGCUUCAGCUAAGGGGUUAUCAGCGUGCCAUGGUUAAGUCAAUGACAUUAGCUGCAAAAAUUCCACAUUUUCAUUAUGUCGAAGAGAUAAAUUGUGAUGCACUUGUGGAGCUCAAAACAUCAUUCAAGAAUGAGACUUCUGAUCCGGAGAUCAAGCACACUUUCCUUCCCGUCCUCAUAAAAUCACUUUCGAUGGCUUUAACUACACAUCCAAUGCUAAAUAGUCGCUUCAGUGAGGAAUCCUAUGAGGUUAUCCUAAAAGGGUCGCACAACAUUGGAAUAGCAAUGGCUACUCCAAAUGGUUUGGUUGUACCAAACAUAAAAAAUGUUCAGUCUCUCUCAAUCUUGGAGAUAACAAAGGAACUGUCACGGCUACUGAAUUGUGCUAAGAUAAACAAGCUUAGUUCGGAUGAUGUAUCAGGGGGAACUAUUACUCUAAGCAAUAUUGGAGGAAUUGGUGGAAAGUUUGGUUCCCCACUUGUAAAUUCACCUGAAGUUGCCAUCAUAGCAAUGGGCCGGAUCCAGAAAAUUCCACACUUUGCUGAAGAUGGGAAUGUAUGUCCUGCAUCAGUCAUGACGAUAAAUAUAGGUGCAGAUCAUAGAGUUCUUGAUGGAGCAACUGUUGCAAGGUUCUGUAACGACUGGAAAAAGUUUGUGGAAAAGCCAGACCUCCUAUUGUUGCAUACAAGAUAAUUAUUGUAUCCGAGACUUGAUCAGAAAUAAUUUAUUUGUUAUCUAAGAACAAAGGCUCAUUUUGGCCUUCCUUGUCAUUAUUUUGUGGGUAUAAAGAAAGAUCAUUUGAAGCUUAUAGGUGUCGUGAAAGAAAGAAUCACUGAAUCUCAUAGAUAAAGGCAGUGUUACCUAGUCUCCUGUUGUCUGUUGUCGGAAUGUGACAACAGUUGGAAAAAUAGAAGAGA
This 1317-nucleotide unclassified non-coding RNA is filed under the name Hevea brasiliensis (rubber tree). The record is from RNAcentral. Lineage: Eukaryota; Viridiplantae; Streptophyta; Magnoliopsida; Malpighiales; Euphorbiaceae.